This 1018-nucleotide long non-coding RNA is filed under the name Marmota monax (woodchuck). The record is from RNAcentral. Lineage: Eukaryota; Metazoa; Chordata; Mammalia; Rodentia; Sciuridae.
GCAGCCUGGGGUGGGUGGGGGGCAGCUUCCCAGUAAGACAGCCCUGCACAGAAGGAAAGGUCCAAUGAUCUCAUUUGUCUCCCUCAUGGGAAAAUAAAUGGUCGCCCAAGGAGGAGUUGGGCCUUCUGGAGCCCCUGGUUGGUGCCCACCAAUCACAGCACUGCACCCAGCCGCUAACCCAGACCAUGAGGCCGAGCACCCAGCCCCCAGCACCCAGGGCCCAGGGACGAGCUGGGUUAGGGUCUGAGGGUGUCAAAGACAGACGCAGGCCUUGGACCUUGUCCUUUGGGGCCAGGGCCCCUGGUCUCGGCUGCCUGUCCAAGGAGGACCUGCUCAGUGGGCUCUGGGCAUUUAGGACUGUUGGCUGUCAGGAGUCGCCGUGUCCCAGCAUGCUCAGCAGUGUCCCUGACCUCCUCCCACCAGACACCAUGGUUCUCCUGGGGCGUGGCAGCCCAGAGUGUCAGCAGACAUUCCAAGGUCCCUGGGGGCAGAGCAGCCCACCGAGACACACUGGUCUAAGUUAGGAGGUUCGGAGUUUUCAGGGUAAAGGACCCAGGCGUGUGGUCCCCAGGACAUGGCCUGGUGGCCCAGCUCACGCAGGACCAGGGUAAGGCAUAGUCUUAAAGAAUCAGAAGAAGAAAAGUCCGAUCAAGCAACUUCUUAUUAGGUGACACGGCCUUUGCUGACUCUGGUCCCACUGUUGGCCAUGCCUAGUUGUAAGGGAGGUCAGGAAUGGGCUGGGCUGCGCUGCUGGCUGGGACCGGCUAGCACUGUCCCCAGGAAGGAAGGACGAUGGAGGACAGCUGGCAGUCCCUGGCCUGCUCAGCUGUGGUCCCCCCGCGGUCCUCUGCACUCUCCCGCCUGGCACCCCUCAUGUGACCCUCGUGCUCCUGGUCUAGGAGGUGUGGUCCUGCCCCUCAGCUUGGUGCAGGACACCUGGCAGCACUGACCAGCAAGGCCUCCCACUUGUACCCUCUGAUCCAGACAAACUGCCCGCAUUGUUCACUGGACUUGUGUG